Molecule: long non-coding RNA, 995 nt
Filed under: Nicotiana tabacum (common tobacco)
Lineage: Eukaryota; Viridiplantae; Streptophyta; Magnoliopsida; Solanales; Solanaceae
Description: long non-coding RNA (NTAB_LNC007638)
Source: RNAcentral
AAAUUUCUGUACGCAAAAGCUUUACGGAGAAGAACUUGUGAUCAUGAAACAAGAGAACCACCAACAUUUCUAUUAUAUAGAAAAGCCAUGAUUGGUCGACCAAGGAUAGAAUUGUCAUUUUAUUUUUCACACACUACCACAUAAUUCUAGAACCGUCCACACUUUCAUCUCCUUUCCUAACUCUCUCACUUUCCCUUCAUCUUCUCGGCUUGGGGUUUUACCACAAUUUUUUCUUAAAUCUUCUUCCACUUUUUUCAGUUCAUCCUCCUCUCUUUCAAUCUUCUGUUCAUUACUUUUUUUUAAGGGAUUUCUUCCUAUUUUAUCAGUUUCUUGCUUGAAGUAUCUACAUUUAUGGGUCUUCUACUUUGGGUGUUACAAGGUUCAGGUUAGUGUGUCAGCUAUUCUUUUUUUCAAUUUUUCUUCUAUUUUAUUUCAUUUUUUUGUCUGCUAUUAUCCGUUGUUAUUGUUGUUAUUUAUUUUGGAUUUUCUCUUCUGUUGUUCUGCAUUUUUGUCUUCAUAUGCAACCUGUAUCAAUAUAAUACUUCUGCUUUAAUUUGUGGUCUAAACGAUUGGUUAAAUCUUCAGUUAAAUUUGAUUUAAGUUUUUUUUUUCAUUUGGUUUUCUUGCUUUUUCUUUUUGCCUCUUCUUGGUAGAAGAACACUUCUAAUAGAACUGGGUUUAAUAUGGGGCAUGCGGGUGCUGCUACCUGAAACCUAAGUUAGUUUUAAUUGGGUUUUGUUACAUUUUUAGGUAACACUUUUUGUGCCACAAGUGUUUGAUGAAUUUAUUGAAAGAAAUUACUUCUACAUUGAACUUCUAGAUUCUCCCUUUUUGAAGCUUGAGUUUUGAUAGAUCAUGGCUAUACAGUUUGUGCGUUCAAAAGCAAUGUAAUCUGUUUGGCAGACAACUUUCUAUCCUUAUGGUCUCUCCAUCUCGAGGAGUUAAUCACUUGCAAUAUACAUCGCGUCUUCUUUCACCGGAAAAGGACAAUCCAG